GUUGAGUGUGUGGCGAAGGGAGGGCUGUGAGUAGUUGGGGGAGGGGACGCGGCGGGAAAGGGAGGGAGCUGGGCGGGCGCCCGACCGGGACACCCAGGCGGGGGUCGAGAAGGUGGUUUCUCCCCCGCCCUCGGGCAAGCGGCGAGGGAGGAGGCUGCAGUCAAGCUGGGUUCGCGACCGGCUGGGGGGAUCGAUGACUCGGCCGGUGGGCACGGCCACCUGGGUGAGGGGCCGCGGAGGAGGGGGGGGCGGAGCGCCGAUGUCAUGGAUGGGCUCCGAGGGCCUGGCGGGAGGGGGGCGCCAGUGUUCAGGGCCGUUUUGGUGGCGAGGAGGGAUUGGCCUGAGCCGCAGUGCUCGCGCUCGCCUCGCCGACCGCCAUUUCACAUCCUGCAGAGAAGGCGGGGGCAGCCGCGGAAACAGCUUUUUACAAGGUUGCCUUGUAUUUGAACUGGUGUGAGAGAUCCUUAUUUGGAACCAUCGUGGGUCUUAAAAGGCUCAAAGACACAGAUCACUGAACUAGUACUUCCCAGAGGAAGAGAUGCCAGCAGGAAAGACUAAGAAGGAAUGAUCAAUGAGUGUAGCAGUAGCAGGAAACAUUCCAUCUGGAUGUGCAGAAUAUGUAAGUUGGAAGACAUUAGCCUAAAGGCUGGAAACCUCAGAGAACUGAUAUACUUUCUGAAAGUAUCAGACAUAUGGUUGGAACUGCAGAAGAAAUGUCCCCUUGCCCUUUGCAUUGCAUCAUUUGAUGACCAAGUGGUGUCCAUCUAGCCAGUUCUGUAUGACUUGGACAAAACAUGUUGCUUUCUGAAGCAGACAAUGUUCUGAAGGCAUCAAUAUCAGUAAUUUCAGCUUGUUGAAGAUGGAGGUUCUUUGUGUAAAAGAUGGUUUUGUUUUGUUUCUCUUGUCCUGAAGAAGAGUUUUAAGUAGUAAGCAGAAACAUAUAAGGCUUCUUGAGGCCGAGACUCCAAACUGACACACUGGCACUUCUGUCUCAUUCUGUUGGCCAGAGCAGGUUAUGUGACCAAGUAAAAUUCAAGGGGUAGGGAAACAGAAUUCACCUCUUUAGAGAAAUGACAAAGUGACAUGAAGGGGUGAAGAAGUGGAACCAUUAAUACCAUGGUAGGGAUGACUGGAGCAUGCUUGAAAAGUAUAAAGAAUUUGUAGGAUGAAGAAGAAAAUGAAGAAGAAAGAUCACUACCAUAGGUCAGAGAAUUAACUUUUGAAAAAAGGAACAGUACUUCUGGGAAUGGAAAGAAGGGGCAUUUGACUGAAUUAUAUUUAGCAAAUUAAAAUACAGGAUGUCCAGUAAUUUUUUAAACUUCAGAUAAACAAUGAAUAAGUUUUUAGUAUUAAGUACCUGCAUACAAUCUUUGGUAGGCUCUCAGUACAUAGUUGGCUAUUUUUAUUAGUUUAAAUACUAUUUAAAUAUUUCUAUCAUACAAUAUUUUGGACAUACUUAUCCCAAAAUAUGAUUCCUUUUUAUUUGAAAUUCAGAUGUUACCAGGCAUCCUGUGUCUUAAUCUGACAGCCCUAUUUUGGUUGACUUUUAAAUAAAGCCAUGGUAAGAUAACCUACAAAGGACUAGCGAGGUGCUUUGGGGGAUUUAAUCCUGGAAGAAGUUUGGAACAGCUGCAGUGGAUGCUGUGCACUGCCCAAGAGAGGACUGCCAAGCAGCAGGGAAGGCCCACUGACCAAGAGGCAGCACAACUCUUCAUUGCAUCAGCAGUGGUACUUCACUGCUGGGUGCAGAGGUGGGACGAAGGUGGCAGGUACAGGUGACCACCUUGGUUUGACUGUGUAGGAGAGGCCUGGGAAGGAGUUUGGGCAUAGUUGAAAUGACUAGGGGGUCCAGGUUGUACAGGAAAACAGGUGAAACCAGAAGGAAUUGGGAGGCAAAGGUAAAAGUGAGUCAAAGAGGUGGAAGUUCCCAGAGAAGUAGAAUUUACAGUCUUGGAAGAAUAGUUCUGUGAUAAUGGGGUUAAAAAUCCAAUUUCACGAGAGAACUAGAGCUAAAUUAAAAGCAAGAGCUCUGGAGACAAAGUACCUAGUUUUGCAUUCUAGUUGUAUGAUUUUGGUCAAAUAAUUAAACUUCCCUAUGACUUAGCUUUUUUUUUUUCUUUUGUAAAUCAUGAAUAAUAAUGGAUCUCAUAACCUCAUAGGGUUAUUGUGAGAAUUAAGUGAAAUAAACUACAUGAAGGUACCUAGAACAGUAUGUCUGGUGUUUGCUAUGUUUUAUUAUUUAUAUACCACUUGCAUGUAUCUAUAAUCAAUAAAUGUGAGUGCAUUAAAGAAUAUUGUUUGAAAGAAAAAAGGCACAUGUACAGUGUAUGUUCUGCCUUAGCUAACAAAUGCUAGGUUUGGUAAAUACCAUUAGCUACUUGUUUAAGUUGGAGCUCAAAGAGCCUUUACCACUUAAGGUUGUUUUCUUUACUGUUAUUAUAAGAAAAUAAUUGUCAUGCUCAAGUCAUAUCUGUCUCCUCACUUCCCCCUAGGUGACCAUGCUUUGGGAUUUUCAUAGUUUGAGUAAUUCCUCCGGGCUCUGCCACCCAGCAAGUUAAAGAGGACAAGAUUCCUCACUGGGGGUUGUGGUUCUGGGAAUGUGAGCAGCUUGUUUUCAUGAAUUCUGCACCCUGACCUGGCCUACUGUUAGGAGCUGUUGUGUUGGUAGUGGCGGUGUUUUUAGUUAUUUCCUCCACCUUCCACAGUUACUUGUAUAUAAAGAUUUUUGAAAAGUGAAUGUUUUAUGGGGAUGUUUUGCUUAUGCAACGAAAAAUUAAAACUGUUUCAAAGU
Molecule: long non-coding RNA, 2791 nt
Filed under: Sus scrofa (pig)
Lineage: Eukaryota; Metazoa; Chordata; Mammalia; Artiodactyla; Suidae
Description: lncRNA (ENSSSCG00050022655.1)
Source: RNAcentral